Molecule: ribosomal RNA, 454 nt
Filed under: uncultured organism
Description: partial 16S ribosomal RNA
Rfam family: Bacterial small subunit ribosomal RNA
Source: RNAcentral
CGUACACUCCUGCGGGAGGCAGCAGUGGGGAAUAUUGGACAAUGGGCGCAAGCCUGAUCCAGCCAUGCCGCGUGAGUGAUGAAGGCCCUAGGGUUGUAAAGCUCUUUCACCGGUGAGGAUAAUGACGGUAACCGGAGAAGAAGCCCCGGCUAACUUCGUGCCAGCAGCCGCGGUAAUACGAAGGGGGCUAGCGUUGUUCGGAUUUACUGGGCGUAAAGCGCACGUAGGCGGACUAUUAAGUCAGGGGUGAAAUCCCGGGGCUCAACCCCGGAACUGCCUUUGAUACUGGUAGUCUUGAGUUCGAGAGAGGUGAGUGGAAUUCCGAGUGUAGAGGUGAAAUUCGUAGAUAUUCGGAGGAACACCAGUGGCGAAGGCGGCUCACUGGCUCGAUACUGACGCUGAGGUGCGAAAGCGUGGGGAGCAAACAGGAUUAGAAACCCCUGUAGUCCCAUGA